This 253-nucleotide ribosomal RNA is filed under the name uncultured bacterium. RNAcentral describes it as "partial 16S ribosomal RNA". It matches the Rfam family "Bacterial small subunit ribosomal RNA", at positions 524 to 776 of the family's 1533-position model. The record is from RNAcentral.
UACGUAGGGGGCAAGCGUUGUCCGGAUUCAUUGGGCGUAAAGAGCGUGUAGGCGGCCAGGUAGGUCGGUUGUGAAAACUGGAGGCUCAACCUUCAGAGGUCGACCGAAACCAUCUGGCUAGAGUCCGGGAGAGGAGAGUGGAAUUCCUGGUGUAGCGGUGAAAUGCGCAGAUAUCAGGAAGAACACCCGUGGCGAAGGCGGCUCUCUGGGCCGGUACUGACGCUGAGACGCGAAAGCGUGGGGAGCGAACAGG